AUACGUAGGGGGCGAGCGUUAUCCGGAAUUAUUGGGCGUAAAGAGUGCGUAGGUGGUUAUUUAAGCGUGUGGUGAAAGGCAAUAGCUCAACUAUUGUAAGCCUUGCGAACUGGAUAACUUGAGUGCAGGAGAGGAAAGCGGAAUUCCUAGUGUAGCGGUGAAAUGCGUAGAUAUUAGGAGGAACACCAGUGGCGAAGGCGGCUUUCUGGACUGUAACUGACACUGAGGCACGAAAGCGUGGGGAGC
RNAcentral lists this ribosomal RNA (246 nucleotides) under uncultured bacterium. RNAcentral's name for it is "partial 16S ribosomal RNA". It matches the Rfam family "Bacterial small subunit ribosomal RNA", at positions 523 to 769 of the family's 1533-position model. The record is from RNAcentral.